Molecule: long non-coding RNA, 3188 nt
Filed under: Fragaria vesca (wild strawberry)
Lineage: Eukaryota; Viridiplantae; Streptophyta; Magnoliopsida; Rosales; Rosaceae
Description: long non-coding RNA (FVES_LNC003426)
Source: RNAcentral
UAAGCCUCUCCCUAUAUUCUCUUAAUUGUUUUUGAAGAAUAUAUAAAGCAUAUAUGAACUUAUGUGAUUAUCUAACUUGCAUGUUUGAUGUAAAAUAUACCUUUUUCUUUUUGGCAGCCCUACGUUCAUAAAAAUAUGUAAAAAGAAAAUGUUGAAUCAUUCGAUCCAAAGAUUUACCUUGCAACAGUGUUGAACUGUCUGUUUUAGUGUUACAAGUUUCUUCCCAAAUAUAACCAAUAUUUUUAUUUGAUUUAUUUCUUUUUUCUUCUUUUUUUUCUUUUGGUUUUUACUGUAAUAGCCCGGUGUUUCCAUAUGAGAGUGAGUUUAUUAAGGGGCAGAUUAGGCAGUUCACAUUUUGGUGAAUUUCCUAACCUCCUGGCUUUAUUGUAGUAAAGAUUAUGGAAUGCCGUUUGUUAAUCAAAACAGCAUUCUGGUAGUCACCAUUAACGGAGCUGGGCUACUAAUAGUGCUGAUAUAUCUUGGCAUAUUCAUUUUUUAUGCUCCUCCAAAACGACGGGUACGUACGUAUAUAUUACUCACUUACACAAUUGACAAUCUAGUUGCAUGUAUUUAUUUUGAAAAUUAAUAUUUCACAUUUUCACUUUCACUCUUGCAGAGGAGGGUUUUCAAAUGGUUAGUACCUGAAUUUGUUUACUUCGGGAUUGUUGUGCUUGGAACUAUGUUGGCAAUACCCGAGCAUAAGAUGGCGAUGAAUAGACCUUACCGGGCUGUCGUGGUUGGUAUUAUAUGUGAUAUCUACAAUGUCAUCAUGUAUAGCUCUCCUCUGUUCAUUGUGGUAUGUCAAAGUUUUUAUUGUAAAUUUAUUUUACCAUCUCGGGUAGUAUACCUCACAAUUUAACUCACUGUCUUGGUUUUAACUUUUAACAGAGAAAGGUCAUCAAAACUAAGAGUGUGAAGUACAUGCCGCCAUUCACUAUCGUAUUGGCCAACUUCAUGAAUAGUUGUUGCUGGACUGCAUACGCUCUUCUUGGGAAAGUUGACUACUUCAUAUUGGUGAUUAUUUCUCUCUUAGUGAUCAAUUUUGAUGAUGUGGUGAUUGAACUUAUUAACUAACGUGUGUGUAUCUAAUUACUGAUGCAGAUUAGCAAAGGUCUUGGUUCAUUCUUUGGACUAGUUUAACUGAUAGUCUAUGGGAUUUUUUCGUUAUGCUGCACACCAAAUGAUGAAGACGCUGCAAGCAAGCCUACUAAUGAAGUGCAACAACAGAAGCUAAAGAGGUCAUGACCAAUAUGCCCGGAACCAGAUUGAGAUCAUAUAAGGGUUACAACAUUUUACCUGGUUUUCUACUUUGGUUCAUGGAGUUCUACUUUUGAUUAUCAUCAGAGGUCUUUAAGUCUAGUUACAGGUUACACUUGUCAACUUCAACUUCAAAUCGAUCAAAUUUAUAGACAUGAUCUGGGAUGAACCUCAGUAGUGUGUCAUCGAACAUUCUUACCUUCAUGUGAUGGAUAUGAGUCAUAUGUCAAACUGCAGUUGGUCGCUUAGCUUAAUUAAACUACAAGACCAUGAUUGCCAAAAUUGCAAGGACUAAACAUGCAUGUCACUAAACCAAGUUGGUGAACUGUAAUCUAAACCUUUAUAUGCACAUAAAUUUGCCAUAAACCUGCUUCAUCAAACAUAUGUAACCAACCACUUUUCACAGUUAGAAGAACAUGGUACUUUAAGUGUGGAGUUUCUUAAGGAGUUCUUCCUUAUAAGAAGACUUUUUCUUCAGGAAGUAUUUUAAUACGUAGUCGGUGAACCAAUAUACGUCGUUAGGCACCUGCAAAACUGCGUUGCUGCUCUCGGUCGCCAUUUCACACACACACACACAAAAUAAGCGAAUUGGGCUUUUAGCGAGCUAGCGGAGAAGUGACGCGUCUAGGCGGUCUGGGCCGUCGUGGGCCUAGACGGGCUGGAGGCUGUAACAUGAAAAAGCGACGAAUGGGCUCUCGUCGUCUUCUCUCAUCUCUCUCAGGUGAUUUUAGGGUUUAGGGAAAGGUACCUGUAUUCAUGGUUAUGCGCAAUCAUGCUUCGGCUAUACAUGAUGAGUCACAAGCGCAACAGCAACAACAUUUCCUCAAGUGCAGCAGAAGAUGGAGAUCACCACCAAGGAAAAGGACACCGGAAUAAGCAGCAGCAAUGGCAAUCGACAAUGGCAUGAAGCUUGAUAUAUAUAGACAGGACCCGUCAAGUGCAGGCCUCGUAUGUGAGCUAGAAUCAAAUGCUCCCAACACAAUAAUAAAGCUUCAUAAAAUCACUAGGCUGAAAAAAAAAAACUUAAGCUAUUGGGGAACGAAUCAACAAUAUAUAUCAGACAUAGAAUAAACAGAUAGUAUUGUCACUAAUACAGUAAUACCUUACUGAGUUGAUAAUGGGAAGCAAUAUUGCAAUAACAGGUCCUGCUCUCCAUGGCACUCAAGUUUCUUUCAGCUAAGAAACAUACUACUGGUGCAAAUAGAAUUGUAAUUAUAUCUCCGUCUUUGCAUUAAAGAAGGUGCAUAUUUCAGUUCAUAUAGAAUUCGAAAACGAUUAGCUAAAUAUAUAGGAAACCGAUCUUAACUCUGGUAAGGUGCCAUGCAAAUAUAGCUGUUAGUUCAUAUCCAAUAAGACUAGAUUAUCCACCAAGGUCCGAUUAAUAUGCCUCCAGGAUAAAGUACGUGACCAAAUAUAACUACAAACCUCAUACACACCAAAGACAUGAGAAUCUCAUUAUUACUAGAACAAGGUAAUCAUAUCAGACUCAGAGAGAGAUAAGAGCUCCCAGAUACAGUUCCAUUCGGACACUGAUAAUACAAGUCUAAUAUAAAUACGAGCAUUCCCUUCUUCAAAAUCUGAUUCAUUCCAUUCUCCAUAUCUCUCAUCCUUCGAUCACAUUUGAAUUUUCAUUCUGCUUACAAAGAUGGUGACCCCAAGGACUGUGGUUGGUGUCGUAGGAAACGUCAUAUCUGCGUUUCUGUUCCUCUCCCCAAUGUAAGCCUCUCCCUAUAUUCUCUUAAUUGUUUUUGAAGAAUAUGAACUUAUGUGAUUAUCUAACUUGCAUGUUUGAUGUAAAAUAUACCUUGUUCUUUUGACAGCCCUACGUUCAUCAAGAUAUGUAAAAAGAAAGAUGUGGAAUCAUUCGAUCCAAAGAUUUACCUUGCGACGGUGUUGAACUGUCUGUGUUGGUGUUACUAUGGACUGCCGUU